This 442-nucleotide ribosomal RNA is filed under the name uncultured bacterium. RNAcentral describes it as "SSU rRNA". It matches the Rfam family "Bacterial small subunit ribosomal RNA", at positions 26 to 518 of the family's 1533-position model. The record is from RNAcentral.
AGAACGAACGCUGGCGGCAGGCUUAACACAUGCAAGUCGAGCGCCCCGCAAGGGGAGCGGCAGACGGGUGAGUAACGCGUGGGAACAUACCCUCCGGUUCGGAAUAGCUCAGGGAAACUUGGAUUAAUACCGGAUACGGCCUAGCGGCGAAAGAUUCAUCGCCGGAGGAUUGGCCCGCGUUCGAUUAGCUAGUUGGUGAGGUAACGGCUCACCAAGGCGACGAUCGAUAGCUGGUCUGAGAGGAUGAUCAGCCACAUUGGGACUGAGACACGGCCCAAACUCCUACGGGAGGCAGCAGUGGGGAUAUUGGACAAUGGGCGCAAGCCUGAUCCAGCCAUGCCGCGUGAGUGAUGACGGCCUUAGGGUUGUAAAGCUCUUUCGCUAGGGACGAUAAUGACGGUACCUAGACAAGAAGCCCGGCUAACUUCGCGCCAGCAGCCGC